GUAAAGCCCAAGGUCCAAUCCCGUGAAAGCCGGGAUCGUCCCCGAAAGGGGGCGCGACGCUCACAGCUUUAGCU
The submitters of this non-coding RNA (74 nucleotides) gave its source as unclassified sequences. The record is from Rfam.